ACGCUUUACCGCAACAUGCUGACCUGCGAUUACUAGCGAUUCCAGCUUCAUGUAGUCGAGUUGCAGACUACAAUCCGAACUGAGACGUUAUUUUUGAGAUUCGCUCCGGCUCACGCCUUCGCUUCCCUUUGUUUACGCCAUUGUAGCACGUGUGUAGCCCAGAUCAUAAGGGGCAUGAUGAUUUGACGUCAUCCCCACCUUCCUCCAGGUUGUCCCUGGCAGUCUCCUCAGAGUGCCCAUCCGAAAUGCUGGCUACUAAGAAUAAGGGUUGCGCUCGUUGCGGGACUUAACCCAACAUCUCACGACACGAGCUGACGACAACCAUGCACCACCUGUSUUCUCUGUCCCCGAAGGGAAAGGACUCAUUACAGUCCGGUCAGAUGGAUGUCAAGACU
This 395-nucleotide ribosomal RNA is filed under the name uncultured bacterium. RNAcentral's name for it is "partial 16S ribosomal RNA". The record is from RNAcentral.